AGCGAACGCUGGCGGCAGGCCUAACACAUGCAAGUCGAACGAACUCUUCGGAGUUAGUGGCGGACGGGCGAGUAACACGUGGGAACGUGCCUUUUGGUUCGGAAUAACUCAGGGAAACUUGUGCUAAUACCGAAUGUGCCCUUCGGGGGAAAGAUUUAUCGCCAUUAGAGCGGCCCGCGUCUGAUUAGCUAGUUGGUGAGGUAACGGCUCACCAAGGCGACGAUCAGUAGCUGGUCUGAGAGGAUGACCAGCCACACUGGGACUGAGACACGGCCCAGACUCCUACGGGAGGCAGCAGUGGGGAAUCUUGCGCAAUGGGCGAAAGCCUGACGCAGCCAUGCCGCGUGAAUGAUGAAGGUCUUAGGAUUGUAAAAUUCUUUCACCGGGGACGAUAAUGACGGUACCCGGAGAAGAAGCCCCGGCUAACUUCGUG
This 433-nucleotide ribosomal RNA is filed under the name uncultured bacterium. RNAcentral's name for it is "partial 16S ribosomal RNA". It matches the Rfam family "Bacterial small subunit ribosomal RNA", at positions 29 to 507 of the family's 1533-position model. The record is from RNAcentral.